This 366-nucleotide ribosomal RNA is filed under the name uncultured bacterium. RNAcentral's name for it is "bacterial SSU rRNA". It matches the Rfam family "Bacterial small subunit ribosomal RNA", at positions 1 to 334 of the family's 1533-position model. The record is from RNAcentral.
GACGUGACUUCAGAGUUUGAUCCUGGCUCAGGACGAACGCUGGCGGCGUGCCUAACACAUGCAAGUCGAGCGGAGACAUACAGCGGAUAGGAAGUUUUCGGAUGGAAUUGAAGAAGUAUGUUUUAGCGGCGGACGGGUGAGUAACGCGUGAGCAAUCUGUCCUUCACAGGGGGAUAACACGGCGAAAGUUGUACUAAUACCGCAUAAGACCACGGUGUUGCAUGACACAGGGGUCAAAGGAGGAAUCCGGUGAAGGGUGAGCUCGCGUCCGAUUAGAUAGUAGGUGAGGUAACGGCCCACCUAGUCGACGAUCGGUAGCCGACCUGAGAGGGUGAUCGGCCACAUUGGGACUGAGACACGGCCCAA